UUCAUAAAUAUUGAAGUUAACUUUUAAGUGAAAAGGCUUAAAUACUUUGGGGGGACGAUAAGACCCUAUAAAUCUUAACAUUUCUACUAUUAAAUGUACUUAGAGUGUAGUUGAUGUAUGUUUAUUGGGGUAGUGUUUUACUGGGGCGGUAUAAAUAAAAUUAGUAACUGUUUAUAUUAAUUACAGUAAUAUCUGAACAUUUGUAGAUCCUUAAUUAAAGAUCAAAAGUUUAAGUUACUUUAGGGAUAACAGCGUUAUUUCUUUUAAGAGUUCAUAUCUAAAAAGAAGUUUGCGACCUCGAU
This 302-nucleotide ribosomal RNA is filed under the name Emerita analoga. RNAcentral describes it as "partial 16S ribosomal RNA". It matches the Rfam family "Bacterial large subunit ribosomal RNA", at positions 2048 to 2530 of the family's 2925-position model. Lineage: Eukaryota; Metazoa; Arthropoda; Malacostraca; Decapoda; Hippidae. The record is from RNAcentral.